This is a long non-coding RNA of Tetranychus urticae (two-spotted spider mite), 1533 nucleotides long. RefSeq lists it as uncharacterized. The record is from RefSeq and is a predicted model, not a curated record. Lineage: Eukaryota; Metazoa; Arthropoda; Arachnida; Trombidiformes; Tetranychidae.
UUUAUUGUAACGCGUAUCAGAUUACAUAAGUUACCUUUCACCCUUUUUUCAGUUUCUUGUUUCUUCUUAAAUAUUUUUUGAUUUACUUGUCUGCUUUGACCAAUUUAUGCAAAUUAAUCAACAAUUUACGCUAUUUAUGAAGUCUAAAGCUACAUAAAUGAUGUAUUUAAUGUGUAACAAGUGAUUAUUUAAAGCUUAAGUUCAAUGGUCUUUAGUCUCAACCAUCUAAGUCUUCAAGAAAUAUCAACUAGUUUACAUGGAAUUAUUUAAAUAAAUUGUGUUAAUUUAUGAUGUGAAAAUGGACUAAUUUGAUAAAAGAUUUCAUUCUUGUCUGAUUAUUUGUCAAAUUUCACAUUUUUAUUGGAGUCAUCUUCUAGUUCUUUUUUGCCAAUGUGGAUGCUUUAUUAGGUGCUGAUGAAAAUGUCUAUGAAAGUGGAUAAUGAAAUCAAUGUGAAUUGUAACAAUUUGAAGGAUAUUUUACUGUUAAUUGGGCGCAAAGCAUAAAAUUGAAUAUAAUGAGGAAAAAUUGUGAUUGACAGUUAACAUAAUCAUCACCUUAACUGCAAUCUCCUUUGCUUUCAACUGCAUCAUUAUCAAUUUAAUUAUGUAUUCACAAGUUUCCCGUUUAAUUUAAAUACUGUCAUAUUCAAAUGUAGCUUCCUACCAGAUAAUAACAUUGGCAAAUCGUACGAAAAAUUCAUUCCAUUAUUCCUUGUAUCAACACAAAAGGAAAUUGUUUUUCUUCUCAACUCCUCAGGUUUACUAUUAGGCAAACACAAACCAACCAACCAGAAAUACCUUUUAAUCAACCUUGAUUAAUAUACAUCAUUAUCAACUCAUCAUUCUGGAUGUUGUUUGGACCAAAAAAAACCAGAAAAGCUAAAAACAAAUUGAAAUGAAGGAGGAUCAAUUAAUUAACCUGCAAACUAAUCAAUUACCAUCAAUAAUGGUCAAAGACAACUCGAAACCAAUAGACAUGGAAAAGAUGCUGCAAGGUAUCUUCAGGUACAAGAUAAACAUAAAGAAAAGGAUAAAACCCUCUCAAACCUGGACAAAUGUUUAUCAUCAAGAUUAUCUUGGAUAAUUUUACUCCUGGUCACCAUCAGUAGCAAGCUGGAAGCUCAUCUCUAAUGUCCAUUAAGAUUACAAUUUUAUUACAAUAUCAAUGGCGAUUACCUUUACUUGAAACUACAAAAUCGUAAAGCAAGCAACAAUGGCAAGCAUAUUGUCAACAGAUGAACCUGCACCCAAGUUGAACCUUCAUUUCAACUGUACUUUUGAUUAUUUAUUCAAUAUUUACCGACCAUCCUACACGAUUAUCAAAUAUUUAAAGUUGAUAAUUCAUUCUAUUGUUCAAUGGUUAAUCUUGAAUCACAAUUGUCAUCCAAUUUUUUAAUUUCAACUCUUUUCCCGACAUCUUUUUAAUUCAUAUUCAGUUAAAGCUUCCUAUGGUAUUAGCUGUUUUCAAUCAAGCUGUUUCUCUGUUCAUUUCAAAACUGUUUACUUUUUCAAUUCACUUCACUUUUUUUCCAA